Anas platyrhynchos (mallard) is the source of this 2679-nucleotide non-coding RNA. NCBI's taxonomy places the organism in Eukaryota, Metazoa, Chordata, Aves, Anseriformes, Anatidae. The record is from RefSeq and is a predicted model, not a curated record.
GGACUGGAGGUUCCUGAGCAGGGGAGUCUCUGGGGGCUUGCCUGGGGCAGGCACUGCCAGCACGGGCUGGGAUCUUCCGUGGUGGCUGGGGACUGGUGCGUGGUGCCUGGUGGCCAGCAGUGGCCAGAGCUCGGGCCCAGGGCAGGAGGUGUCCUGCUGUACUGCCUGCAUCGGCAGGAAUCCUGCUAGUACAGCAGAAAGCUUCAAGAAAACUGUUAAAAAUCUGAAAUGCACACGGUGUGGUUCAUGGAAGGCUGGUUUUCUACAGGUUUGUUCCUGCUCUGUAGCAGUCCGGUUCAGGCAACGUGUUUCCCCCCCCCGUGGUGCAGGGGCUGCAGAAAUGCGCUGACAUCUCCCCCUACGCGACUGCUUCGUCUUUGGACUUUCCUCCCGAGGAGCCAGGCGGCACUGUCUUCAGGUGGCCAGGCCUCUGGAGCAGAGCAGGUGCCCUCCUUACCAUACAUCAGACGUGUCAGAAAGCCACAGCAUUGCAUCUGCACCUCCAAAACACGUUACAGGGGCAAUGACAAAGUGGCAGUGUUGUUCCCUGUGUUGUACUAAGCACAGCCUGGUAUGUCUGUGCCAGCAUCAUCCCUGGGCACACCUGGUUGUGUGGUCAGGGUUUGUCACCACAUUGCCUGGCUUGGCCUGCUCCAGAGCAAGGGCCAAAGGGGUUACAAAUUCUUUAGUUUCUGGCCUCACAGCACUGUUGGCAUUUGACCACCUUAGCUGCUGACACUAUAACUGGGAUGAUGGCCUUCCCCAACUACCCUACAAUUCCCCUGCUUCACUAUUUUCCGUGGUUAUUGUACAGUGGCACGUUCCUUCCCCCUGUAAGCACUGCAUGUGAUAUUUUGGGUCUAAAGCUUUGCAAGUAGCAAGCUCCUGAUGUUGCAGCCAUAUUACUGACCAAAGUCCUGCUUAUGGGAACUGGGCUUUCAGCUGCUCUCAGCUCCUUGUUGGAGCUGGGGUGCUGCCGCUGGCCAUGCUGUGAGGGCUCAGUGUGCAGGGGAGCAGUGGUGCUGCCCACAGAGCAGCUCCGAUGCCUUCAGCUGAGGUAGGUUGGCCUUGCAAUUUUUAGUCUUUGCUUGACUCUGAGUUCCAGCAGAGGCUGCAGGCCAGCUCAGCAGUGGCUGAAGGCAGGGUCCUGACCAGGGACCAAGCGCUUCUCUUGCUGGCAGCAAGGAGUCAUGAUCCCGAUCGAUAGCUGUGAAGGGAGCACUGGUGACAGGCAGAGCAGCCGUUCAGGCUGUCAGAUAUCUGAGUCAAAGAAUCGCUUAGGCUGGAAAAGACCCCUAAGAUCAUCAAGUCCAACUGAAUCCAUCAGUGCCUUUCCCUGGCAGUGUCACAGAUCCUGUGAAAUGGAAGGGACGUUAGCAAAGCUUUGCUGGCUUUGGGGAAGGCCCUUGGUCGAAGAAACCAUCUCUUGUAAUCUUCCCUGUUGAUAAACUCAGCCUGAGAUUGUCUCAGAAGAGCACUGCAAAAAAUGCUAUUAAAUGUGGAACUUAAAAGUUGUUUUGAUAACUCUAAAACAUUUCUUAAUAUGUAUUAGCCCCUGAGUUUGCAACAGAAGUUGGCUUUGAAAUAACCAAAUCUAUAUAUUAAAAAAAAAAAAAAAAAAGGAAAAAAUGUGUUUACAAUUUAAUGUUAAUGGUCCAAUUCUGUAAAUUUUGUGUUACAGCCUUUUCAUAAGAGCACUCUUCAAUGAUACAUUGCAUCUGUGGAAACAAUAUUGUUUUUAACUUCAGUCAUAUAUGCAACAUGUCAGAAAGGGAGCGUCUAUACUCAUAACAUCUUCCACAGUUAUUGAAUUUCUCAGGUUACAGAAGCCAUAACUAAAAAAACGUAUUUCUCAAAUAUUGUUUGAUUCAUAAAGUUCUUAACUGCUCAGUUAUUGCGUGCUAAUGUUCAUGACACUGGUGUAAUUGAAGCAGUAAGAGGUUUCUCUUCAUUUAGUGCCAAAACAAAUAUGAAACAUUAAACCCCUGUGGGUGCAGAUUAUUGCAAGCACAGGCUGAUGGGUUAGAAAUUGUUGAAAGAUGAGAUUUCUGAUGACUAGUAUUGCUUCAGUUGUCAAAAAAUCUUGACUAUGAAAUGAACCCUUUUUGGUAAUUGACGAGGUACUUUUUAGAUAGCGUACAAUGGUUCUUCCUCUCUCUCAUCUAAUUUUAUUGAUUAAAGUACACGGUGCUUCUGGGGUUUCAACUUUCUAAUGUCUAAAACCCUUGAAAACCUAAUUAGUGACAUUCUUUGAGCGAUUUCCAGAUUUUGAGAAUUUGGAUGCAUUUUAAAAAAAAAAAAAAAUUUUUUUUACUGAUAUUUAAAAUGUAUCAUCCUCUAAAAGAAACAUUUUGGAAAAAUCUGUACAAGCUCGUCUCUCUCAGCUUGCAGAGGUUCUGAGGAAGUUUGUUAUUAUGGAGAUAUCUAGAAAAGGAAUAUGUUGCAAAAGACGGAUCGAGCAGAACUACUUGAUUUAUGCGUGUUUCUAAUACAUCCUUGCCACGUGCUUUCUUGUAGCUUUUUGGUUUGUCUGCAAGACUGUAAAAUGUAAUUCCUCCUGUAAGAAAUUUAUAAAAGAACUUCCUAGGUUAUUUUAUUAAAAUCAUUGAGACUAAAAUGUUGAUGUGUAAUCUUUGGAUAGAUUUGAAAAUAAAUUCUCAGUAAACCUUUAAAAAGUAA